CACAAGCGGUGGAGCAUGUGGUUUAAUUCGAUGCAACGCGAAGAACCUUACCUGGUCUUGACAUCCACAGAACCCUGUAGAGAUACGGGGGUGCCUUCGGGAACUGUGAGACAGGUGCUGCAUGGCUGUCGUCAGCUCGUGUUGUGAAAUGUUGGGUUAAGUCCCGCAACGAGCGCAACCCUUAUCCUUUGUUGCCAGCGGUUAGGCCGGGAACUCAAAGGAGACUGCCAGUGAUAAACUGGAGGAAGGUGGGGAUGACGUCAAGUCAUCAUGGCCCUUACGACCAGGGCUACACACGUGCUACAAUGGCGCAUACAAAGAGAAGCGACCUCGCGAGAGCAAGCGGACCUCAUAAAGUGCGUCGUAGUCCGGACUGGAGUCUGCAACUCGACUCCACGAAGUCGGAAUCGCUAGUAAUCGUGGAUCAGAAUGCCACGGUGAAUACGUUCCCGGGCCUUGUACACACCGCCCGUCACACCAUGGG
This 484-nucleotide ribosomal RNA is filed under the name Salmonella enterica. RNAcentral's name for it is "bacterial SSU rRNA". It matches the Rfam family "Bacterial small subunit ribosomal RNA", at positions 924 to 1408 of the family's 1533-position model. The record is from RNAcentral. Lineage: Bacteria; Pseudomonadati; Pseudomonadota; Gammaproteobacteria; Enterobacterales; Enterobacteriaceae.